CCUACGGGUGGCUGCAGUGGGGAAUAUUGCACAAUGGGCGCAAGCCUGAUGCAGCCAUGCCGCGUGUGUGAAGAAGGCCUUCGGGUUGUAAAGCACUUUCAGCGGGGAGGAAGGCGGUGAGGUUAAUAACCUCAUCGAUUGACGUUACCCGCAGAAGAAGCACCGGCUAACUCCGUGCCAGCAGCCGCGGUAAUACGGAGGGUGCAAGCGUUAAUCGGAAUUACUGGGCGUAAAGCGCACGCAGGCGGUCUGUCAAGUCGGAUGUGAAAUCCCCGGGCUCAACCUGGGAACUGCAUUCGAAACUGGCAGGCUAGAGUCUUGUAGAGGGGGGUAGAAUUCCAGGUGUAGCGGUGAAAUGCGUAGAGAUCUGGAGGAAUACCGGUGGCGAAGGCGGCCCCCUGGACAAAGACUGGCGCUCAGGUGCGAAAGCGUGGGGAGCAAACAGGAUUAGAUACCCCGGUAGUC
This 465-nucleotide ribosomal RNA is filed under the name uncultured Klebsiella sp. Its description in RNAcentral is "bacterial SSU rRNA". It matches the Rfam family "Bacterial small subunit ribosomal RNA", at positions 338 to 795 of the family's 1533-position model. Lineage: Bacteria; Pseudomonadati; Pseudomonadota; Gammaproteobacteria; Enterobacterales; Enterobacteriaceae. The record is from RNAcentral.